GACGAACGCUGGCGGCGUGCUUAACACAUGCAAGUCGAACGGAAAGGCCCUGCUUUUGUGGGGUGCUCGAGUGGCGAACGGGUGAGUAACACGUGAGUAACCUGCCCUUGACUUUGGGAUAACUUCAGGAAACUGGGGCUAAUACCGGAUAGGAGCUCCUGCUGCAUGGUGGGGGUUGGAAAGUUUCGGCGGUUGGGGAUGGACUCGCGGCUUAUCAGCUUGUUGGUGGGGUAGUGGCUUACCAAGGCUUUGACGGGUAGCCGGCCUGAGAGGGUGACCGGCCACAUUGGGAAUGAGAUACGGCCCAGACUCCUACGGGAGGCAGCAGUGGGGAAUAUUGCACAAUGGGCGGAAGCCUGAUGCAGCAACGCCGCGUGCGGGAUGACGGCCUUCGGGUUGUAAACCGCUUUCGCCUGUGACGAAGCGUGAGUGACGGUAAUGGGUAAAGAAGCACCGGCUAACUACG
Molecule: ribosomal RNA, 466 nt
Filed under: uncultured bacterium
Lineage: Bacteria
Description: partial 16S ribosomal RNA
Rfam family: Bacterial small subunit ribosomal RNA
Source: RNAcentral